RNAcentral lists this unclassified non-coding RNA (327 nucleotides) under soil metagenome. RNAcentral describes it as "partial contains 5.8S ribosomal RNA, internal transcribed spacer 2, and large subunit ribosomal RNA". The stretch from base 1 to 120 matches the Rfam family "5.8S ribosomal RNA", at positions 35 to 154 of the family's 154-position model. The record is from RNAcentral.
GAUGAAGAACGUAGCGAAAUGCGAUAAGUAAUGUGAAUUGCAGAAUUCAGUGAAUCAUCGAAUCUUUGAACGCACAUUGUGCCCCUUGGUAUUCCGGGGGGCAUGCCUGUUCGAGCGUCAUUAUAACCCCUCAAGCUCAGCUUGGUGUUGGGGCCUGCCAACUGGCAGCCCUUAAAAUCAGUGGCGGCGCCAUCUGGCUCUAAGCGUAGUAAUUUCUCUCGCUAUAGGGUCCCGGUGGAUGCUGGCCAGCAACCCCCAAUUUUCUAUGGUUGACCUCGGAUCAGGUAGGGAUACCCGCUGAACUUAAGCAUAUCAAUAAGCGGAGGA